GGAAGGUGAUGUGGAUAAUAACCGCAGCAAUUGACGUUACCCGCAGAAGAAGCACCGGCUAACUCCGUGCCAGCAGCCGCGGUAAUACGGAGGGUGCAAGCGUUAAUCGGAAUUACUGGGCGUAAAGCGCACGCAGGCGGUCUGUCAAGUCGGAUGUGAAAUCCCCGGGCUCAACCUGGGAACUGCAUUCGAAACUGGCAGGCUUGAGUCUUGUAGAGGGGGGUAGAAUUCCAGGUGUAGCGGUGAAAUGCGUAGAGAUCUGGAGGAAUACCGGUGGCGAAGGCGGCCCCCUG
This 293-nucleotide ribosomal RNA is filed under the name Salmonella enterica subsp. enterica serovar Hadar. RNAcentral describes it as "partial 16S ribosomal RNA". It matches the Rfam family "Bacterial small subunit ribosomal RNA", at positions 442 to 731 of the family's 1533-position model. The record is from RNAcentral. Lineage: Bacteria; Pseudomonadati; Pseudomonadota; Gammaproteobacteria; Enterobacterales; Enterobacteriaceae.